Molecule: ribosomal RNA, 492 nt
Filed under: uncultured bacterium
Lineage: Bacteria
Description: partial 16S ribosomal RNA
Rfam family: Bacterial small subunit ribosomal RNA
Source: RNAcentral
AGCGAACGCUGGCGGUAGGCCUAACACAUGCGAGUCGAACGGCAGCACAGUAAGAGCUUGCUCUUACGGGUGGCGAGUGGCGGACGGGUGAGGAAUACAUCGGAAUCUACUUUUUCGUGGGGGAUAACGUAGGGAAACUUACGCUAAUACCGCAUACGACCUACGGGUGAAAGCAGGGGAUCUUCGGACCUUGCGCGAUUGAAUGAGCCGAUGUCGGAUUAGCUAGUUGGCGGGGUAAAGGCCCACCAAGGCGACGAUCCGUAGCUGGUCUGAGAGGAUGAUCAGCCACACUGGAACUGAGACACGGUCCAGACUCCUACGGGAGGCAGCAGUGGGGAAUAUUGGACAGUGGGCGCAAGCCUGAUCCAGCCAUACCGCGUGGGUGAAGAAGGCCUUCGGGUUGUAAAGCCCUUUUGUUGGGAAAGAAAAGCAGCAGGUUAAUACCCCGCUGUUCUGACGGUACCCAAAGAAUAAGCACCGGCUAACUUCGUG